GUGACCUUGUGGUUAAGGCACUGGACUUUAACUCUGGUGACCUGGGUUCCAUUCCCAGC
Molecule: non-coding RNA, 59 nt
Organism: Chelonia mydas (Green sea turtle)
Lineage: Eukaryota; Metazoa; Chordata; Testudines; Cheloniidae
Source: Rfam